GGAAAAAAUAAAGAAGAUUGGCAACAGAUGUUAGCUCAGGUGCCAAUCUUUAAAAAAAAAAUACAAAAACAAAACGAAAAAUUACCAAAGACUAUGUAAAAGGUAGGGGGAAAAUACAGUCACCUGUCCAGAUGCUGUCACUAGGGGAUGCCUAAUGCCCUGUGUAUCAGCAUUGUUUCUAUUAUAAAGCUAAAACAUUUUAAAAACCUUCUUAAUUUUCUCUUUUCACACUCAAUCUUUUCACCCCUUUUAGCUACCUCAUAGCUGUUUUAUUCUGUCAGCCACAGAUUUUCUGCAUCACUUCAUUGAGGAGGGCUCUGAGGCUAUGUCUCAACUGCAUGUGAAAGUGCCACGAUGACUCAGCAACGUCUGUCCUGGGCGUGACAUACGUGUAGUAGUAUAUACUUCCAGACUUCCUCCCGAAGACAAUGACAAUUACUGGUUCCUUGC
RNAcentral lists this long non-coding RNA (450 nucleotides) under Equus caballus (horse). RNAcentral describes it as "lncRNA (ENSECAG00000045875.1)". Lineage: Eukaryota; Metazoa; Chordata; Mammalia; Perissodactyla; Equidae. The record is from RNAcentral.